This 247-nucleotide ribosomal RNA is filed under the name Thalassiosira gravida. Its description in RNAcentral is "partial Eukaryotic small subunit ribosomal RNA". It matches the Rfam family "Eukaryotic small subunit ribosomal RNA", at positions 828 to 1074 of the family's 1831-position model. The record is from RNAcentral. Lineage: Eukaryota; Bacillariophyta; Thalassiosirophyceae; Thalassiosirales; Thalassiosiraceae.
GUGCGGUUCUAUUUUGUUGGUUUUUGGAAUCGCCGUAAUGAUUAAUAGGGACAGUCGGGGGCAUUAGUACUCACAUGCUAGAGGUGAAAUUCUUGGAUUUUGUGAAGACUAACUUCUGCGAAAGCAUUUGCCAAGGAUGUUUUCAUUAAUCAAGAACGAAGGUUAGGGUAUCGAAAACGAUUAGAUACCGUUGUAGUCUUAACAGUAAACUAUGCCGACUAGGGAUCGGUCGAUGUUAUCUUUUUGA